This 201-nucleotide non-coding RNA is filed under the name Pseudomonadota bacterium. RNAcentral's name for it is "Proteobacteria bacterium (cold seep metagenome) 6S RNA". It matches the Rfam family "6S / SsrS RNA". Rfam says of the family: E. coli 6S RNA was the first non coding RNA to be sequenced, but its function was unknown until recently. It consists of 184 nucleotides that fold into an extended hairpin structure with a large single-stranded internal bulge. Lineage: Bacteria; Pseudomonadati; Pseudomonadota. The record is from RNAcentral.
GAAGUUCUAUCUAAGCAUGUUAGCUCCUGGGUACUUCUUGAGCCGUAAUCUUAUACCCCGGAGAUGCUUGUCUGAUGAUGUGUGCAGGCCUGCCCCUUUUCAUUAGAGAAGGAGAGCAGAAAGCCUAAUUUAUCAUUCAUUUCUCCACUUGAACCGAUAGGUUCGAGAGCGAAAGAGAGCGACGGCUUAGAUGGUUCUUCA